This 305-nucleotide ribosomal RNA is filed under the name uncultured bacterium. Its description in RNAcentral is "bacterial SSU rRNA". It matches the Rfam family "Bacterial small subunit ribosomal RNA", at positions 335 to 637 of the family's 1533-position model. The record is from RNAcentral.
UCGCCUACGGGACGCAGCAGUGAGGAAUAUUGGUCAAUGGGCGCAAGCCUGAACCAGCCAAGUCGCGUGAGGGAUGACGGUCCUAUGGAUUGUAAACCUCUUUUGUCGGGGAGCAAGGCCCGCCACGUGUGGCGGGAAGGAGAGUACCCGAAGAAAAAGCAUCGGCUAACUCCGUGCCAGCAGCCGCGGUAAUACGGAGGAUGCGAGCGUUAUCCGGAUUUACUGGGUUUAAAGGGUGCGGAGGCGGGAGGGUAAGUCAGCGGUCAAAUGUCGGUGCUCAACCCCGGCCCGCCGUUGAAACUGGC